RNAcentral lists this long non-coding RNA (276 nucleotides) under Salvia miltiorrhiza (redroot sage). RNAcentral describes it as "long non-coding RNA (SMIL_LNC010640)". Lineage: Eukaryota; Viridiplantae; Streptophyta; Magnoliopsida; Lamiales; Lamiaceae. The record is from RNAcentral.
UAUAAUUUUCCACGUUGCUGAAGUGCUCAUUCUCCAACCUGUACAAAUGAUGUCCAUUAAUGGUAGAAACAAUUUUUUUUUUUAUGUGUUUCGUGUGUGAGCCUACAAGUAGAGUGAUUAAUGUUUGAGGCCAAGGAACUAAUGUUUGAGGCCAAGGAACGUACCUGAAGAAGUUCCAAAUGCCACGACGAAGUAUCUCCAAGCAUGCAACGACAGAGACCAUGGCAUUUCUGUGGAGAAAUGGGAGAUGGAAAUCAAGAACCAGCUGCAUCCACA